UUUUAAAAAAAAAAAAAAAAAAAUCCUAUGUAUUUCAGUCCAGCUCCUGUAUCUAUAAUAUAUAUUUUAGUCCUGGAAGUGAACUUUGUGUUGAUAGCACAACAGAAGAGCAAAGAGAAUCAGAAUUAUUGUUUGUAUACAGAUUGCCAUAUAGAAUAUUUAAAUUACCGUAAGUCUCCUUACAGAAGACGAGUCAUGAGAUAUUUUGAUAUAUUUGCCUCUUGCACUUUGCUUGAAAGCGAAAACUUCAUGAUGCUCAAGUGUCAAUGUGCAUGGCAGAGUUUUAUUGAGAGGACUUGUGAUGCAAAAUGAUUCAGAG
Molecule: unclassified non-coding RNA, 319 nt
Filed under: Hevea brasiliensis (rubber tree)
Lineage: Eukaryota; Viridiplantae; Streptophyta; Magnoliopsida; Malpighiales; Euphorbiaceae
Source: RNAcentral